UGGGGAAUCUUGGACAAUGGGCGCAAGCCUGAUCCAGCCAUGCCGCGUGAGUGAAGAAGGCCUUCGGGUUGUAAAGCUCUUUUACCAGGGACGAUAAUGACGGUACCUGGAGAAUAAGCCCCGGCAAACUUCGUGCCAGCAGCCGCGGUAAUACGAAGGGGGCUAGCGUUGUUCGGAAUUACUGGGCGUAAAGCGCACGUAGGCGGAUUGUUAAGUCAGAGGUGAAAUCCCGGAGCUCAACUUCGGAACUGCCUUUGAUACUGGCAAUCUAGAGUCCGGAAGAGGUUAGUGGAAUUCCCAGUGUAGAGGUGAAAUUCGUAGAUAUUGGGAAGAACACCAGUGGCGAAGGCGGCCACCUGGUUGGAUACUGACGCUGAGACGCGAAAGCGUGGGGAGCAAACAGGAUUAGAUACCCACGUAGUCCCUGAGCGGGCUGGCAAGGCGCAU
Molecule: ribosomal RNA, 447 nt
Filed under: uncultured bacterium
Lineage: Bacteria
Description: bacterial SSU rRNA
Rfam family: Bacterial small subunit ribosomal RNA
Source: RNAcentral